This 232-nucleotide ribosomal RNA is filed under the name uncultured bacterium. Its description in RNAcentral is "partial 16S ribosomal RNA". It matches the Rfam family "Bacterial small subunit ribosomal RNA", at positions 118 to 347 of the family's 1533-position model. The record is from RNAcentral.
UGAGCAACCUGCCCUUGACUCUGGAAUAACAGUUGGAAACAGCUGCUAAUACCGGAUAUGACUCCUCAUCGCAUGGUGGGGGGUGGAAAGCUUUUUGUGGUUUUGGAUGGACUCGCGGCCUAUCAGCUUGUUGGUGAGGUAAUGGCUCACCAAGGCGACGACGGGUAGCCGGCCUGAGAGGGUGACCGGCCACACUGGGACUGAGACACGGCCCAGACUCCUACGGGAGCAG